UGUUCUGUGGCUUAGUUGAUUAAAGCGUCGAACUAUCGAUACGGAGUCGUGGGUUCGAAUCGCAUCAAAACAA
This is a non-coding RNA of Aedes albopictus (Asian tiger mosquito), 73 nucleotides long. Lineage: Eukaryota; Metazoa; Arthropoda; Insecta; Diptera; Culicidae. The record is from Rfam.